This 58-nucleotide transfer RNA is filed under the name Selaginella moellendorffii. RNAcentral describes it as "tRNA EPSMG00000000023". Lineage: Eukaryota; Viridiplantae; Streptophyta; Lycopodiopsida; Selaginellales; Selaginellaceae. The record is from RNAcentral.
GGUAGAGCGGAGGAGGGUUGAACACCCUCGUGCCACCAGUUCGAGCCUGGUUCCUGGC